AAGAGAAAAAUCACUGCCUUAAACUGAUCAUGAUAGCAGUUGGCAAAGAAAUGAGAAACAUUUGGAGACUACUUUUUUCCCGUUUUAAUUCUCCUUUAGACACUUUGAAAAAAUCAGAGAGGCCCUUAUUAGUGGAUACUAGCAAUGUUUGUGUAGGUGUGCUCUGGGAAAUGCUUUUAAUAGAUUGUGUAUUCCUGUUUUUAAAUAAGCCACGUUAAACAUCAUCUAGUACAGCAUCAUUAUUGGCAUUUCGCAUCAUAAAACUAGUAACCGUAGAGAAAGUCAAGAUGUUUUCCCAGUUCCCAGAACAUAAUUUUCCAUCACAGGAAUUAUUCUGACAGUUGCACAAAUGGGAACUUUCUCCCCCCCCCCCCUCUUGUUUCUGGACAUGAAUCUGGACCUUUCUGACCCUUACACGAGCGAUUAUUAACCUUUCCAGACUCCCACUUUUUUUUUUUUUUUCAGAUCCGUAAGGACAUUACAUGGAACACCACCCUGUAACUGAGCACAGUUUGAAGACAGAUGACUAAUUUCCCAAAUUAUUUCUGGAUUUUCCCUUUUGUUACUUAUAGCCUGAAACGGCAUCCACAGAAACCCGGCCCCCCUCCCCCCCAUAAGAGGUAGAAAGUGAAAGGCUGAGAUGGAGCACUUAAAAAUGAUCCCACUGGGCCCUGCCUGUUAUUCACCAGCAAGGAAUGUGGUCGUGUUUAUAAGGCCGAGGUUCGUCUGAAGGAAUUUUCAUAAACCACCAAUUGCAUUACAUCAAGGCCUCAUCUUAAAUCCCAUGGUGAUUUUCCUAAACACAACUAGCCUGCUGGCUUCAGACGUAUUAUCUCUUCUUGUUGUUGCAGAAAAUUCUCUGGAUGUUUAUAUUCCUGCCGGACCACCCUAAAACGGCCCGUUGGCUAACGGGGACUAGUAAGGGGUGGGGGGAGGAGGUGGCAUAAAUGACAAAGAAGAAGACCGGGGGCGGGGGGGGGGACCGUGCCCGCCCUCAGACCUCUGACAUGAGGCACUGACGGCCUGCGUCUGCGUAUUUUUUUGUGGCUGGUGCGUGGCGGGUGGACCAGACGUGGGCCUGGCGACGACGGGGAACGGAGAGGAGCAGGUGACGGAGCCGGAGAGUCCUAUUUCCGUCUCCCAAACUCCACGUGACCACAACGUCCGUCCCGGAUUCUCUGAACGUGAGUAAGGAGCAGCAGUCAACCAGACGCAGGGGAAGGAGCUGUCAAAACCAAGUUGGGGCUCUCGAACGUCGUAGCUGAACUCAGGAGGUCACGUUACGAGCUCUCAGCUCAACUCAAGCCCCAUGUCCCUUUGGUCAUGGCUGGAAAGCCCCGUGGAAAACAACACAGAAAGGGAAUGAGGUGUCGGGCGUCCUUACAGGGACAGUUUCUGCAGGACCUCGUCUUCCUGGGAGGGCUCUUCUCAUCCUGCACCUGCUCCCGUGUGACGUCCACCAGCAGCGCUCUCCCUCACCCUCCGUCCCCCGCCCGGUCUCCCUUCUGAGCUCUAGGUGCAAACAGCCAGCUGCCCCCGGGGCAUCUCCGUGGGGGGCUCCAGGGCACCCUGCAUGCCCACGCCCCAAGUAACUUUUCACCUCCCUCUGCCUGCUAACCUCCAGCUUGCUCCCCUCCCCGAGUAUAUUCCAGGAGGGCUGGGACCAUCAUCCGCCCUCCCCUGAGCCCAGUAGCUCCCCCUGCUCUGUGAAAUGAGCCCCCCCCCCAUGACCCCAAGCAUCCCCACCAGGCUGAGCCAGGGGUCAGAGCUGCCGGUGAGGAGGGAGCGAGCAGUCAGUACCUGAGCAAUGGCUCGCUCGGGAGCAACACUUAACACUCAGCCAACAGAGCACGCUCUUUCUUAACACAGUGGAGAGAAAACAGAAGGAAGGAUGUGGGGGGGGAGGCACACAGCUCCACGGGGGAAGCUGAGUCAGGGUCAAGGAUGACGCUGGCCCUGACGGUGCUAAUUAAACCGUAAGCAUUUCAUAGUCUCCAGGACGCCGUGGGAAAAGGAGGAUAUGAAACAAGGAGUCCAAGCCGAGGAUUGUUGGGAAAUAGGUGGGCUGGCGAGUUCCUCCUGAGUUUAGAGGAAGGGGGCCCCCUGCGGGCAGGGGGAGCCGGGGAAGGCCCCUCUUGAGCCUGGAGCUCCGGUUGGGUUCUGCCCAGCUCACGGGGUGAGUGGGGCCGCAGGGUGAGAGCACCUCUCAUCCGGGAAGGGCCCGCAGCCCUACGUGGCCUCACGCCGGGCUCACGCUCUGCUGCGCUCACCUGGGUGGUCACGAACACAUCCAGGUUCUGCAUUCCAGGCGGGAACCCGACCGAAGUCAAGUGCCCUGUUUUCUCAGCCCAUCGCAUCAGCAGGUGCCUGAAGUCAGCGCAUCCCCGAUUCCCUAGUGGCCUAGUUCAGGCGGGCGGGCCAGGCUUCCCUGCCCUGACGCUGGUCUUCCUCCCCUUGUAACCCAGGAGCGCUGGCUCUUGGGGCGGUGCUCGCGGCCAGCGUGAACGUGCUAAGUCUGUCGAACUGUCACCUGCACGUUCUGGCGUCCGCCGAUGACGAUCCGAAUCCAUCGUUACUCUGAUCUUUGCCGGAAGUCGACGUUCUGGGUAAUUCAUUCCUUCGGUCCAAAGGGAGAGACAUUUUCCAAAGUAACCGGCUUGUAUUCCUUAAACAUAUUGAUCUCGUGACAACCUGCGGGGCUGUUCCAGAUUAAAGGGGCCCGAAGAGAACCAGCAACUGGAUGCAGUGUGUGAUCCUGGACCAGGAUUCCUUUGUCCUUUCCUCUAAAGGACAUUGCUGGGACAACUGGUGACAUUUGAAGAAGGCCUGGAUAUUCUGUGAAAUUAGAAGCCUUCUGAAUCAGUGCUCUAUUUUGAGCACAAAGUCAAGAUUUUUGUGGCCGCAGCCAAAGAUGUUCACGUGGAGAGCUGCUGAGCUGGCUUGUUGAUUCAGGCCCCGACGAUUCCUCAGGUCUUUCUGGAAAUAACAGGGUCAUUGACAUGUAACGCGGUUAUAAAACCUGUGACGAGGCGCCCGUCUAGUGACAGCAGGGCCGAGCCAGCCGAUACCUCCGCGACCGAGUCCCCGUAACGUGAGUGCCUCGCGCCAUCCCGUGUAACCCCCAGGACAAAUCUGCAAGAUAAGCUGUGCCAUCCUGAGUUUUCACAUGAGAAAAUAGAAGCUCAGAGAAGAUGAAAAUCCUUUGCCCAAAGAUCCAUGGUCGUAUGUUCCAUUAAGUCAUCUGGAUGAUUUCUGGGGAGGCACGGGACUCCAACGUCAUGCACCCCACUUCUGCUGGCCGACACUUGGGGACCGCCGGGUCCUGACCUCAGCACACUGGAUGGUGGAGUGGGUGACUGUGUGCGUCCGUUUCCUCCAGCGAACACGGCAUCCGGGAGCGAGAGCGUUCACUUUGUCAAAGGUUCAGAAAUAACAGAAGUAAAACCAGUGAAUCACCGUGGUAGCAAUCAGUAAAAGUUUAUCAUGCACACACCAAAAAGGAAGUUUGCAAACCGGGAGCACUCAAACCGGAAGUUAGCGUGAGGCUCAGGGGUGGAUUCUUAUAAAGCAGCUCAUAUGGCAGAUCAUCAGAGCCACAGAAAGAGGCUCGGUGGCAGAGGGCAUAAGGCUACUGAUGACCUAAGACAGAGGCAACCCCGAAGAGGAAGAGGAGGAGGAGGAAGAAGAUUGUCGGGCUUGUGAGUCAUGCCAACUGAACACAAGUUGUAUCCAAAGGCGGACACGUUGGUGGUAUUACGCGUUUGCAGAAGGACAAAAGCGUAUCCAUAUAAUAUCUCGGUGUAAGCCACCUCCGCCACGGUCAUCACCUUGACCGCCUUCCCCCCAGACCACCACAUCCUGAAACCACGACGCGGGGGGUCACCUCCCUGCCUGCCCUGUCAGGCUGCCUAGCUUGAGCACGAUGCUGUCCACGGAACAUCCUGCAAUGACGGGGCGUCCUAGCCACACUCAUCCGGUACCUGUGGCCACGAAUGAGCGGGCAGAGUACGCUCCCGGUGAAGAAACAAGAAUGGCUCCUGGAACGCUUUGGGGCUGAGUGCUUCGCGGGAGGUGACUCAUGGAAGCGUGCUUACUGGGCCCAUUUUCAGUCGACAAAACCGAGGCCCAGAGCAUCACGGUUGUGGCUGAACUCGAACUCAGUGGUGCGGUCUCGUUCCAGAGGGUGUGACCUGCCUUUAGAAGGAGAGUCCCGCUUGUCACUCAUUCAGGCUGGGGUCCGUCCUUGCGAGCCCUUCAUGGAGCGUGAUGGAGGUGGCUGGUCAGGGGGACCGCUGUCCGCAGCCCCACAGCUCCAGGAAGAGUGGCUGAUGAGCCACACGGCUGACACACAGAGAAGGAGCCAUUUUUAUUUAAAGAUACUCUCAGGGUCUUUCAAAGGCCUCUCACUGUUUGCUUCCAGGCUGGAGACUCUAAAGGGUGAGUCAUUCUAGCUGUUCUGGGGUUUUCACUUCAAGGUCAGAGGCUGCAGGAGUCUCUCGUUUAGAUAUGCAUCAUGAGUUUUAAGUGCCCAGGCUGGGGAAUUAAUUUCGGUCGCCAAUGUCACCCCAGAAUAUUGUGCUUCCAAUGACUGCCACCCAGGCGUCCCUCCUGCGCUCAGCGGAGCCAUGCGGGUGGCCGGGGCUCCACCUGCCAAGGGGGAAUGAGAAAGAGAGCAAGAAGCUGACUCCUUACAAAUGAGCGAAGCAGGUGGGGGGCAGGGGGCAGAAAGAAGAGAGGAACGAACCAAGAAACAGACUCUUCACUGCAGAGAACAAACUGAGGUGGGGGGACGGGUGGGGAAGUGCAUGAUGGGGAUUAAGGAGAGCGCGUGAGAUGAGCACGGGGCCGCAUAUGAAAGUGUUCCAUCAGGGGCGCCUGGGUGGCUCAGUCCGUUGAGUGUCUGACCUCGGCUCAGCUCAUGACCUCGAGGUCCGUGAGUUCGAGCCCCGCAUGGAGCUCUGUGCUAACAGCUCAGAGCCUGGAGCCCGCUUCCGAUUCUGUGUCUCGCUCUCUCUCCGCCCCUCCCCUGUUGAUGCUCUGUCUCUUAAUAACAAAUAAAUGUUAAAAAAAAAAAAAAAAGAAAGAAAGUGUUCCAUCACUGUCAGUACACCGGAAACUAAUAUCACAAUGUAGGUUACCUGUACUGGCGUUGCAAUGAGAUAAAAAUAAAGAAAACGUAAAUAAAAAUGCAAACAUAAUAAACAGACAAAAAAGAAGCCAACUCCUGUCUUCACUGCAACGACUGUGUUCACUGUGCCCUGUCCCUGCUGCUUCCUGCACCUGCCGUGUCCGCCCGUGAUGGAGGAACGUGGGCCCUCCCCCCCAGCUUCCAGGCUUUUGGAUUUUGAGUAGGGUGAGGACUUUGGUGCCCAGACUCGGUCUUCAUCCUGUCGGGGCUGGGCCCAGCCCUGGAUACGACAGCAGAUCCCGGUAGAGCGGGCAUGAGCGGGUCGGGGAAACAGGACAGGAGGUGAUGAGGAGAGACGCGGAGGCAUCAGCUCCCUACCUGGUGUGCCCGCAGCCCCUGGAGGGAGGGUCCCCUGGAGCCUCUCGUGGCCUUUGCAGAGCCUUAAACCCUGGAAAGGACCCAGCAGGGAUGACUCCCAGGGGACUCUGGGAGAAGAGGGACAGGAACAGGGACCUGGAUGUAGGACAACAGGUCUCCUAGCCAGGGAGGCGGUGCCAGCCCACACCCCACGGCCCUUCUGCAAACAGGCAGUCAGUGGUCUCCCUGCACAUCUGUCCACAUGUGCCCCUUUGGGGGUGACCGUGAAGCCUCCGGGCCCUGUAACCUGCACACCGUGCACAUCCACACUAAUCAGCUCCUUAGAAGAAUUCAAUCACAAAGUGAUCUUUGUGCACAAUCAAAUCGUCAUAAUCAGCGUCAUUGAGGCUUGGGUUCUUCGAGUUAAGCUCCCACCACCCCCCCCCCCCAGGCCAACGGCCACACUUUUCUUACAUAUUCGAGGUGAUAUUUUACAAAACCAUUGUAUGCUUUACAAAACUGGACUCGUACUGAAUACAUUUGUCUGCAAAUUGCCUUUUAUCCUACCUCUUUGUUGGCAAAAAGUGUGGCCAGAGACACCCUCCUUUUAUAGUAUGGUUUCUGGGACGGGAGACUGCUCAGCCAAAGGGUAGGUGUAUUUUAAUACUUUCAUGGAUACUGAUAUUAAAAUGGGUAUCGAUACCGUAGAGUUUCAGUAGGUCCUGCCAGAUGGCCUCCCGAAAUGGUUGUAGUCAUUCCUGUUCCCAU
Molecule: long non-coding RNA, 6253 nt
Organism: Felis catus (domestic cat)
Lineage: Eukaryota; Metazoa; Chordata; Mammalia; Carnivora; Felidae
Exons: 5
Source: RefSeq, a predicted model, not a curated record